Molecule: ribosomal RNA, 1699 nt
Filed under: Salmonella enterica subsp. enterica serovar 4,[5],12:i:-
Lineage: Bacteria; Pseudomonadati; Pseudomonadota; Gammaproteobacteria; Enterobacterales; Enterobacteriaceae
Description: partial 23S ribosomal RNA
Rfam family: Bacterial large subunit ribosomal RNA
Source: RNAcentral
CAAGACAACUUUACGGAGUUGACGAUUGACGGAGCGAAGCGACGUCAAAGCGUUCAUUAAAGUCGAGUUGGCUUAGGGAUACGUUCGUUGGGUAGGGGAGCGUUCUGUAAGCCUGUGAAGGUGUGUCGUGAGGCAUGCUGGAGGUAUCAGAAGUGCGAAUGCUGACAUAAGUAACGAUAAAGCGGGUGAAAAGCCCGCUCGCCGGAAGACCAAGGGUUCCUGUCCAACGUUAAUCGGGGCAGGGUGAGUCGACCCCUAAGGCGAGGCCGAAAGGCGUAGUCGAUGGGAAACGGGUUAAUAUUCCCGUACUUGGUGUUACUGCGAAGGGGGGACGGAGAAGGCUAUGUUGGCCGGGCGACGGUUGUCCCGGUUUAAGCGUGUAGGUGUGUGUUCCAGGUAAAUCCGGUUCACUUUAACACUGAGGCGUGACGACGAGGCACUACGGUGCUGAAGCAACAAAUGCCCUGCUUCCAGGAAAAGCCUCUAAGCAUCAGGUAACACGAAAUCGUACCCCAAACCGACACAGGUGGUCAGGUAGAGAAUACCAAGGCGCUUGAGAGAACUCGGGUGAAGGAACUAGGCAAAAUGGUGCCGUAACUUCGGGAGAAGGCACGCUGACACGUAGGUGAAGUGAUUUACUCAUGGAGCUGAAGUCAGUCGAAGAUACCAGCUGGCUGCAACUGUUUAUUAAAAACACAGCACUGUGCAAACACGAAAGUGGACGUAUACGGUGUGACGCCUGCCCGGUGCCGGAAGGUUAAUUGAUGGGGUCAGCGUAAGCGAAGCUCCUGAUCGAAGCCCCGGUAAACGGCGGCCGUAACUAUAACGGUCCUAAGGUAGCGAAAUUCCUUGUCGGGUAAGUUCCGACCUGCACGAAUGGCGUAAUGAUGGCCAGGCUGUCUCCACCCGAGACUCAGUGAAAUUGAACUCGCUGUGAAGAUGCAGUGUACCCGCGGCAAGACGGAAAGACCCCGUGAACCUUUACUAUAGCUUGACACUGAACAUUGAGCCUUGAUGUGUAGGAUAGGUGGGAGGCUUUGAAGUGUGGACGCCAGUCUGCAUGGAGCCGACCUUGAAAUACCACCCUUUAAUGUUUGAUGUUCUAACGUGGACCCGUAAUCCGGGUUGCGGACAGUGUCUGGUGGGUAGUUUGACUGGGGCGGUCUCCUCCUAAAGAGUAACGGAGGAGCACGAAGGUUGGCUAAUCCUGGUCGGACAUCAGGAGGUUAGUGCAAUGGCAUAAGCCAGCUUGACUGCGAGCGUGACGGCGCGAGCAGGUGCGAAAGCAGGUCAUAGUGAUCCGGUGGUUCUGAAUGGAAGGGCCAUCGCUCAACGGAUAAAAGGUACUCCGGGGAUAACAGGCUGAUACCGCCCAAGAGUUCAUAUCGACGGCGGUGUUUGGCACCUCGAUGUCGGCUCAUCACAUCCUGGGGCUGAAGUAGGUCCCAAGGGUAUGGCUGUUCGCCAUUUAAAGUGGUACGCGAGCUGGGUUUAGAACGUCGUGAGACAGUUCGGUCCCUAUCUGCCGUGGGCGCUGGAGAACUGAGGGGGGCUGCUCCUAGUACGAGAGGACCGGAGUGGACGCAUCACUGGUGUUCGGGUUGUCAUGCCAAUGGCACUGCCCGGUAGCUAAAUGCGGAAGAGAUAAGUGCUGAAAGCAUCUAAGCACGAAACUUGCCCCGAGAUGAGUUCUCCCUGA